GAUGAAGAACGUAGCGAAAUGCGAUACUUGGUGUGAAUUGCAGAAUCCCGUGAACCAUCGAGUCUUUGAACGCAAGUUGCGCCCGAAGCCAUCAGGUUGAGGGUACGUCUGCCUGGGCGUCACAUAUCGUUGCCCAAUGCCUAUUGCAGUGCAAUAGGAAUUUCUAGGGCGAAUGAUGGCUUCCCGUGAGCGUUGUUGCCUCGCGGUUGGUUGAAAAUCGAGUCCUUGGUAGGGUGUGCCAUGGUAGAUGGUGGUCGAGUUAGAACGAUACCGAUCAUGUGCAUGCUCCCCAAAAUAUGGCCUCUAUGACCCACACGCGUCUUUUGACGCUCAUGACGAGACCUCAGGUCAGGCGGGGCUACCCGCUGAAUUUAAGCAUAUCAAUAAGCGGAGGA
RNAcentral lists this unclassified non-coding RNA (395 nucleotides) under soil metagenome. RNAcentral's name for it is "partial contains 5.8S ribosomal RNA, internal transcribed spacer 2, and large subunit ribosomal RNA". The stretch from base 1 to 122 matches the Rfam family "5.8S ribosomal RNA", at positions 35 to 154 of the family's 154-position model. The record is from RNAcentral.